RNAcentral lists this ribosomal RNA (708 nucleotides) under Triticum aestivum (bread wheat). RNAcentral's name for it is "partial small subunit ribosomal RNA". The record is from RNAcentral. Lineage: Eukaryota; Viridiplantae; Streptophyta; Magnoliopsida; Poales; Poaceae.
AUGGCGGAUGCGCUGGCCGCCGGGAACCGGGAACACCAGUACGCCACCGUCGGGGACGUCGUCAGGCAGGGUUCUCUAAGCGACGGAAGGCCGGCGGCAAGUGGUGCGGCGAGUGCCAAGCUUCUAGAGGGCGCCGCGGGUAUGGCGGCAGGGACCAAAGAAACCAAUGGUGAGCACAUGAAACCAAUGACGCACAUGGACCAAUUCAAGCAUUUAAAGCUCUGUAGUUGCUUUGGUUAUGUUCAUGCUUCUCGUCGUUCUGCCAUUCCAGUACAUACGCAAGAGGAUGCAGUACAAGUGACUUCCUCGUCCAGGCUCCUCAAGUACAGUAACUCAUGCGGGACACCCAGCUCCAGAGUGGCAGCGACCUGGAGUCCGGCAGAGUCCAUAGGCUGCAGACACACCAAUUCGCAUAUGAGGAGCUGGAGGAGCCCACCGGCGGCUUCAGCGACAUGUGAGAGCUCGGCGGCCAGCGACGGCUUCGGCACCAUGCAUGCACAAACGAUAACUGCAGGACAGGCGGGUAGUGGUGGUGAAGCAGUUGUACGACAACAGCUGCUGGCACGUGCAGCAGUUCAUGAACUAGGCGACGAUCCUGAACCUCGCUAUCUUCUAUGGAUCCUGUCGCAUCCGCACCACCUAAACCUCGUCAUCUUCUACAGCUGCACGUCCAGCCGCAACCGUGAGCUGCUGCUGGUGUACGAGUAG